RNAcentral lists this ribosomal RNA (252 nucleotides) under uncultured bacterium. RNAcentral's name for it is "partial 16S ribosomal RNA". It matches the Rfam family "Bacterial small subunit ribosomal RNA", at positions 524 to 776 of the family's 1533-position model. The record is from RNAcentral.
UACGGAGGGUGCAAGCGUUAUCCGGAUUUACUGGGUUUAAAGGGUGUGUAGGCGGACUUUUAAGUCAGGGGUGAAAUCCCGAGGCUCAACCUCGGAACUGCCUUUGAUACUAUUGGUCUUGAAUGUUGUUGAGGUGGGCGGAACGGGUCAUGUAGCGGUGAAAUGCAUAGAUAUGACCCGGAACACCGAUUGCGAAGGCAGCCCGCUAAGCAACUAUUGACGCUGAGGCACGAAAGCGUGGGAUCAAACAGG